UUUCAUGGAUAAAUGUAUUCUAUUAAAUCACAGAUUUCCUUUUUCUUUUGGUUUGUGUUUGUGAUUACAUUAGUGUAAAAUUGCCUCGUGGCUUCACAAACGCCAAGGUCAAUCACAAAAUGUAAAAUAAUAUGCUAGUUUACAUUAUUUUAUUAUUUUCUGCCAGGCAUUAAUGCUUUGAUGUUCUACUGACAUAUCAUUUAUAUUUCUAUAGAACUCCCUUAUGUAAUGAUCAAGGAAGUUGGCAGCUUUUCCCUGCACCGUCAAUUUCUGAAAUACCAGCUACUCAGGACUUACAGAAUGAAAUAAAAUCUCUCUGGUCUACAGGUUCUACCGAGAGACCAAAAAUAUUCAUCCCCCCCAUUGAAAAAAACAACAGAAAGAGAGAAUUCCUUUCAACAAAAAUCUUGUUUAAAACUCCACAGCCAAAGAUUCUGAGGAGUUCUGACAACACAUCACCAGGUUUAGAAACUAGCGAGCAGAGUGACAGUUAUAAUGUCACAUUGUCUAUGUUUAAGGCGAUGAAUUUCUGAAAAACGCUGAGAACAUUCAGAGCCCCUUGCAUGGCUUGGGUCUUGAACUGUUCAGCACAUGUGAUUCUGCCACUGCGAAAUACCGACAAACCACAAAAACAGCUCAUGUCCUUCCUUUAACACCACAACCACUUAACGUACAAGGUGUAUCAAGCAAGGGUUCAGGAAUUCUGAGGUAUAUUAAGUAUCUCUUCCUGCAUGCAUAUUCAUUUUCUAUACCGAGGAUAUUGAAACGCGAUCUACCCUCCGGAUCCUUAAGCAAAUGCAUUCAGGACUUUAACACCAACAUAACAGAUGGAAUCUCAAGUCCCAGGAAAGCUGCUUGUGAUCACACCACCCCCAUUGUAUUAGUGGAUUGAGCAUAGGUUCUAAGAAUAUGUAGGAUUUAAAUAUGCAUUUCAUAGGGCAGCAGUGUGGAGUAGAAGUUAGGGCUUUGGACUCUUGACCGGAGGGUCGUGUGUUCAAUCCCUGGUAGGGGACGCUGCUGCUGUACCCUUGAGCAAGGUACUUUACCUAGAUUGCUCCAGUAAAAACCCAACUGUAUAAAUGGGUAAUUGUAUGUAAAAAAUAAUAUCUUGUAACAAUUGUAAGUCGCCCUGGAUAAGGGCGUCUGCUAAGAAAUAAAUAAUUCUAAUAAAAUAUGAGAGUUAGAGAUAUUUACCAUUCUCAUCCUGACUUUUUGAAGAAUACACAUUUUCCUUGAUUGGAUGCUGUUCUCAAUGUUAAAACGAGUUGCAUGUGUGUUUGUUUUAACACAUUUCAUUUGGGCUGCAUAGAGUAUGUACAUCACAAGGUUUUUUGCAUAUGCCUAGGGCGUUCAUGCUAAUGCUUUAGAUCUAGAAAGAAACAAAACUGUUUCUGUUAAAGACAAAUUGCAGAUCUCUUGCAUUCCUUUGUAGAUUAACAAAUGCAGGGUAUAUUUCACACACAGAAGCACCAUAUGCAACAGUUACAGCACUUAAAGGGAACUAACUGUUGUAGAGGUUGUAUACAAUAACACAUUUUAGCCUUAACUAUUUUAUAGCUGCACAAUUCCGACCUGUUUUUAAGGAGUUUCCAUGUUUCAAUUAUAUUCAGUCUGGAGCUCUAGAUGAAGUAAGUAUGAAUAUUGUUAAUUGCAGUAGAUGUCGGAAAUUAAAAGAAAUAUCUUACAUUUUUCAUUGACGUAUUUAUAUUUUGUAACUUUUUUGUAGCUUUUUUACACCAAUAGAAAUGUUGUUAUUUGUGCUCCAGCUGGUUCUGGGAAAACUGUACAUUCUGAACUUGCCAUUAUUUGUUUGAUUAUGAAAGUUCCACCACCAUGGUCCAACAUUAAAGCUGUAUACAGUAAGUUUUUGCUUCACUCUUAAGUGACCGGAGUUUGAAAGUUACUAUGCUUUAAAUGCAUGUUGUAGUAUAUGUUUAGAAUAAUGUUUUUCAAGCAAGACGUUAGUGAUGUUUGAUUGAACCACAAUAACAACAUAUGUUAUUUUAAGAAGCACAUAUUCAUUUUUUUUAGCUGGCUAAAUCAGCUUCUCUGUAUCAAGCAUCAUUUCAUAAUUUUCAGAGAGAGAGAGAAAGGUAAAUAUAUCGUGUUCAUAUAAAUAUUUACAGUUAAAAUAGAUGUUUAAAAAAUAUAUUGUUAAUUUAUUUACGUUUAAUACAAUUUUAUAAAUUCUGUGUCUGUUAUCUUUAAAAGAAAUACCUUGACAUAAAAGCUUAUGAUUUCUGUCUUUAGUGGCACCAAUUAAGGCCCUGUGCAGUCAACGCUAUGAUAACUGGAAACCAGAAUUUUGGCCUUUAGGGUUGAAUUGCAAAGAGCUGACAGGAGAUACAGAAAUGGAUGACUUCUUUGAGAUUCAAGAUGCUCAUCUUAUCAUGGCUACACCAGAAAAAUGGGACAGCAUGACAAGGAAGUGGAGAGAUAAUUGUUUGGUCCAGUUGGUUUGACAUUCUUAUUGACGAGGCUGUGUGGUCCAGUGGUUAAAGAAAAGGGGCUUGUAACCAGGAGGUCCCCCGGUUCAAAUCUCACCUCAGCCACUGACUCAUUGUGUGACCCUGAGCAAGUCACUUAACCUCCUUGUGCUCUGUCUUUCGGGUGAGACGUAAUUGUAACUGACUUUGCAGCUGAUGCAUAGUUCACCCACCCUAGUCUCUGUAA
Molecule: long non-coding RNA, 2673 nt
Organism: Acipenser ruthenus (sterlet)
Lineage: Eukaryota; Metazoa; Chordata; Actinopteri; Acipenseriformes; Acipenseridae
Exons: 7
Source: RefSeq, a predicted model, not a curated record